Molecule: ribosomal RNA, 505 nt
Filed under: uncultured bacterium
Lineage: Bacteria
Description: bacterial SSU rRNA
Rfam family: Bacterial small subunit ribosomal RNA
Source: RNAcentral
GACGAACGCUGGCGGCGUGCCUAAUACAUGCAAGUCGAACGCACUCUCGUUUAGAUUGAAGGAGCUUGCUCCUGAUUGAUAAACAUUUGAGUGAGUGGCGGACGGGUGAGUAACACGUGGGUAACCUGCCCUAAAGUGGGGGAUAACAUUUGGAAACAGAUGCUAAUACCGCAUAAAACCUAACACCGCAUGGUGUAGGGUUGAAAGAUGGUUUCGGCUAUCACUUUAGGAUGGACCCGCGGUGCAUUAGUUAGUUGGUGAGGUAAAGGCUCACCAAGACCGUGAUGCAUAGCCGACCUGAGAGGGUAAUCGGCCACACUGGGACUGAGACACGGCCCAGACUCCUACGGGAGGCAGCAGUAGGGAAUCUUCCACAAUGGACGAAAGUCUGAUGGAGCAACGCCGCGUGAGUGAAGAAGGUUUUCGGAUCGUAAAACUCUGUUGUUGGAGAAGAAUGUAUCUGAUAGUAACUGAUCAGGUAGUGACGGUAUCCAACCAGAAAGCC